AGCAGCGGUCGGACACGAAGCUCUUUGCUCGACUUUCGAAUCCUCCCCACUCCCAACCCUGAAUUCACCACCUUGUCGCGUCCUGACUGUUCCAUCCCUACGAUGGCGACGCCCAGCGUCGAUUUGUGCGCAUUUUCAUCCCCUGCUCGGAGAUUCGUUCUCCUAUGGACGCCUGUGCGCUUAUCGAAUGAAAAUCGUUUUGUGCUAAAUCAGUGUAUUGACGUAAAAUUAGUGCCUUGUUGAGGAUAUUUUUACGAGCAAUUAUUGGACCGCAUAAAAUGGUGCUGAAGGGGGACAAGGGGGGAGCGGAACGAAGGGGAAGAAACACGAGGGGAGAAGAAUGGAGUUGUGGAACGGCCAGGGGAGCGAGAGGGAAGGGAAAGAUGCCGGCUGGCAAGCAGAUGGUUGCCCCGUUUAUUGGUUUAUUCGUUGGUUCAGCCAUGACGUUCUGUCCGGCCAUGAAACAAGCCGGAGAUUCUCCUUGUGUUAGAGAGUAUCAAGCAACGAGGCUACAACUGCUCUUCCCAUUAAAACGCAUCCGCGAGCUACUUACCCGGGUAGUAUAUUUUUCGAUACUUCUCCCGCAUCUGAUAUCGUUCCUGUCAUGAUGAAUUUAUAUAUUAUGAAUCUAUAAAUUUCUAUAAAUUCUAUAUGUAAGUAUAAUGAAAGAAUCUUUAAAAUCGGUAUUUGU
Molecule: long non-coding RNA, 691 nt
Organism: Temnothorax curvispinosus
Lineage: Eukaryota; Metazoa; Arthropoda; Insecta; Hymenoptera; Formicidae
Exons: 3
Source: RefSeq, a predicted model, not a curated record